Molecule: ribosomal RNA, 253 nt
Filed under: uncultured bacterium
Lineage: Bacteria
Description: partial 16S ribosomal RNA
Rfam family: Bacterial small subunit ribosomal RNA
Source: RNAcentral
UACGUAGGUGGCAAGCGUUGUCCGGAAUUAUUGGGCGUAAAGCGCGCGCAGGCGGUUCUUUAAGUCUGAUGUGAAAGCCCACGGCUCAACCGUGGAGGGUCAUUGGAAACUGGGGAACUUGAGUGCAGAAGAGAAAAGCGGAAUUCCACGUGUAGCGGUGAAAUGCGUAGAGAUGUGGAGGAACACCAGUGGCGAAGGCGGCUUUUUGGUCUGUAACUGACGCUGAGGCGCGAAAGCGUGGGGAGCAAACAGG